UGAGCCUAAUAAAGCCCAACAGCGGCCCAUAAGCAAAACCUCCUCCUUCUUCCUCCCUUUUGCAUUUGUGCUACCUGCCCUGCCCCGCGCCGCCGCCGCCGCCGCCAACCCGCCAUUACCUGCGCCAUGCCACCGCGAAAACGCCCGCCGUCGCCGCCGGAGGAGCCCUCCCUUGCCUCGAAGCCUCGACCUGACGCGCAGCCGUCCAAACCCGACCCCGAUUCCGAGCAGUCGACCAUCAACCCGAGGAUCCUCGCCCAACUCCCCAACCAGGAGCGCCUGGUGUACAAGCUCAUCUUCGAGGCGGGCAACAAGGGCAUGUGGAUGCUGGACAUCCGCAAGAAGCUGCUGAUGGCCCCCAACGUCGCCACCAAGGUCGUGCGCACCCUCGUGGCAAGCGGGCUCCUCAAAGAGGUCAGCGACGUGCGCCACCGCAGCAGGAAGAUCUUCAUGGCCACCGACUUCCAGCCCUCCGCCGAGAUCACCGGGGGCACCUGGUACCACGACGGCCGCCUGGACACCGACGCCGUAACCACCGCGCGCCGCUGCUGCCAGGCGCAGGUCCAGAGGCUCGGCGCCGCGACCGCGCAGAUGAUCCACCAAGGCAUUCUCAAGGAAGACCCCAGGGCCGGGUACACUAUCGACAAGGUCAGGGAUAUCAUCAAGACCAUGGUGCUCGACAAGGUGCUCGAGGAGGUCAAGAGCACCGGCGCGGGGGAUUUUAGCGCCGUCAGGGCCGGCACAAUGUGCUACCGGCUGGUCACUGGGGCUCCGCAGGGAGGGAUGAUGGAGGGAAUCCCUUGUGGGGUUUGCCCCAGGAUUCAUGAGUGCUCGCCGGAGGGGAUCAUCUCACCCAGCACCUGCGUUUACUACAAGAAGUGGCUGCAGAUGGACUUCUAGGCGGUGACGGUGAGCCCUCUUCUGUCCGUCACGAUGGGGUGUUGGAGUCCAUUGGAGAAUUUAGUUUCAUAUUGACCAGUCGGGACCUCUGAAUUCUGAAAGGAUAGGUUUGCAUCUCUACGCUCAUGGGACACUUUGGUCAUACGUACUGGCACUUAAUACGUCUGGAUCGAAGGGGUUGAAGAGGCUUCUAUUGUAAUAUAUUUUAGUAAUAUAUUUUAUUUAUAAUGUAUUGUAUGAUUUUAUGUUAAUUUUUUUACUUGCAAUAUAGAAACUAGAAAUAAGAACUAAUUAUUGCACUUUUA
RNA transcript from Zea mays, 1205 nucleotides. RefSeq lists it as uncharacterized. The transcript is spliced from 2 exons. The record is from RefSeq and is marked validated. Lineage: Eukaryota; Viridiplantae; Streptophyta; Magnoliopsida; Poales; Poaceae.